This 1227-nucleotide long non-coding RNA is filed under the name Homo sapiens (human). RNAcentral describes it as "HSALNT0354926". Lineage: Eukaryota; Metazoa; Chordata; Mammalia; Primates; Hominidae. The record is from RNAcentral.
AGUGCUCUUCUGGGGGAGCUUGUUCGUCCCUUUGCCCUUGCACCAUGUUAGGACACAGCUAGAAGGUGCCAUCUUUGUUUUUUGUUUUUGUUUGUUUUUGAUUUUGUUUUUUGGAGACAAGAUCUCACUCUGUUGCCCAGGCUGGAGUGCAGUGGCGCAAUGUCAGCUCACUGGAACCUCCACCUCCUGGCCUCAAGCGAUUCUCGUGCCUCAGCCUCCUGUGUAGCUGGGAUUACAGAGUCUCCUCGGGACUGUCACCUUACAAUUGCCCCCACAAUGGGCCCCAGUGGGAAGCUGGCCUGUUGUUUUUUGCCUUGAGUCUUUGGCUGAUCUACAUGGGAAAGGCAUAUCCCCAGCUACAGAACCAGCACAACGUGGACUAUGUAAUAUUCAAGGGUAUAUGUCCCUUCUCCAUCUCAUAGAUCCCCUUCCACCGCCUUGACACUGAAGAGCAACCUCCCCAUCACUCCUUUCUCAUUGUUCCUGGGUUUCUCUCUGAGACUGCGAGGGCGUAGAAUGAGGAAUGAAAAAGACAUGCAACCCCAUCUCACCAUGAAGGAGAAUCACAAUCACGGGUUGCUGAGAACAUGUAAGAGGUAGCUCUAAGCUAGCCUGGGAGGUAAAGGAAGGCUUCCAGGAGGAGGUGACCUUUACAUUGAGACAGAAAGGAUGAACAGGAAUAAGCUAGGAAGAGGGAGUGAAGAGGGCUUUCCAGGUGAAGGGAACGACCCAUUCAAAGCCUGGAGGCAGGACAGAGUAUGAGCUGCUUGAGAAACAGAAAUCAGGCCAAUGUGCUCGGCACUCAGCGUAGCAUGGAGAGCCAAGGGGAGGGAGGAAGAGAUGAGGCCAGGGAGAGGCCACGGGGAGGAUUCUAGACUUGGAGGCUUUUCCUGAGUUUGGAAAAGCCCAAAUUACCAAGCUCUUCCAGGGAGAAUAACUCAACUGGGCAGAUUGUGUGAGCUGGAGCGGAGGUGGAGGUCAGGACGCCAAGAUGGAAUUUUCUGGCUUUUCUGCACACUGGGGACAGUUGCAGGGCUGUCUAGAUCCCACAGAGCUCAACAAUAUGCCUGACUCACCACCCCUCUGAGGCUGCCCAGCCCACAGGUGACAGUGUCAGGGCUGCGGCCACCCGCCUGGUUCUGCCACUCAGCGACCUUGGACAAGGCCCCCCUACCCACAAGUCUCUUUAUUCAUACAAUUGUAAUGACAGCUACGUCCCAGCCUUAC